Molecule: ribosomal RNA, 258 nt
Filed under: uncultured bacterium
Lineage: Bacteria
Description: partial 16S ribosomal RNA
Rfam family: Bacterial small subunit ribosomal RNA
Source: RNAcentral
GUCCGCACCGUAAACGAUGAAUGCUCGUUCUGGGCGAUAUACUGUCCGGGACUUAGGGAAACCAUUAAGCAUUCCACCUGGGGAGUACGCCGGCAACGGUGAAACUCAAAGGAAUUGACGGGGCCCGCACAAGCGGAGGAACAUGUGGUUUAAUUCGAUGAUACGCGAGGAACCUUACCCGGGCUUGAACUGCGACUGACCGGCAUAGAGAUAUGCUUUCCCUUCGGGGCAGUUGUGGAGGUGCUGCAUGGUUGUCGU